CAGAAGAGGACUCACUGGCCCUCUCUUUUUCUUCCUUUCUUUCUUCCUUUCUUUCUCUCCUCCUUUUUCUUUCUUUUUCUUCCCUUCACACACAGGCUAGGGAUCCAAGAAGACCAACUUUUCUGCCUCUGCUGAUGCUUUUCAUCCUCAAAGGAGGGGAGGGGGUUUCACAGGAUAAGAAGGAUUCUCUACAAAUGUGCAUAACAGUGCACAGUUUUGAGUUAGGCCCCUGCUAGCUACCCCAAGAAAGGAAUCACAUGCUUUUCCUUUCAAGCUAUUACCAUCUUCAUCCUUCUGCAGGAGCUCUGGACAGCCACCUUGGCCACGGCUCUCCUCUGUCCUCUUUGGAUAAAGGGACAAGCCAUCUUUCUAAAUUCCAGUCCUCUCUGAUCCUUCCUGCUUUCCCUCCCAAACAGCUGGUGCUGUCAACAUCUGUUAGGGGUAUUAGUGGAAGACAACAGGCUUCAGCCCUGCAUAAAGCCUGUAUAGUGACAGGAGGAAAGAAACCCAGCGCAGUUCGAUCCUGACCUAGGCACAGGCCCUUACUGGAAUAACUUUAGGAUUCAAGCUUCACAGGGGAGACUGUGCAUCAAGAAGAAAGGAAACCAGAAAUUCUCAUCCUAGCUGCCUGGAGGCCAGUAUUCAGAUGAAGAUAUAGAACUCUCAGCUCCUGCACCGUGCCUGCCUGGAUGCUGCCAUGUCCCCGCCUUGAUAAUAACGGACUGCACAUCUGAAGCU
RNAcentral lists this long non-coding RNA (738 nucleotides) under Rattus norvegicus (Norway rat). Its description in RNAcentral is "long non-coding RNA NONRATT005763". Lineage: Eukaryota; Metazoa; Chordata; Mammalia; Rodentia; Muridae. The record is from RNAcentral.